RNAcentral lists this ribosomal RNA (761 nucleotides) under uncultured bacterium. RNAcentral's name for it is "bacterial SSU rRNA". It matches the Rfam family "Bacterial small subunit ribosomal RNA", at positions 1 to 812 of the family's 1533-position model. The record is from RNAcentral.
UGAGAGUUUGAUCCUGGCUCAGGAUGAACGCUGGCGGUCUGCUUAACACAUGCAAGUCGAACGCAACCUUCGGGUUGAGUGGCGGACGGGUGAGUAACGCGUGAGAAUCUGCCUUGGGGUCGGGGACAACCACUGGAAACGGUGGCUAAUACCGGAUACGCCUUCGGGUAAAAGAUUUAUUGCCCUAAGAGGAGCUCGCGUCUGAUUAGCUAGUUGGUGAGGUAAGAGCUCACCAAGGCAGCGAUCAGUAGCUGGUCUGAGAGGACGAUCAGCCACACUGGGACUGAGACACGGCCCAGACUCCUACGGGAGGCAGCAGUGGGGAAUUUUCCGCAAUGGGCGAAAGCCUGACGGAGCAAGACCGCGUGAGGGAGGAAGGCUCUUGGGUUGUAAACCUCUUUUCUCAGGGAAGAAGCUCUGACGGUACCUGAGGAAUCAGCCUCGGCUAACUCCGUGCCAGCAGCCGCGGUAAUACGGAGGAGGCAAGCGUUAUCCGGAAUUAUUGGGCGUAAAGCGUCCGCAGGUGGCGAUUCAAGUCUGCUGUCAAAGCACGGGGCUUAACUCCGUAAAGGCAGUGGAAACUGAAUAGCUAGAGUGCCGUAGGGGUAGAGGGAAUUCCCGGUGUAGCGGUGAAAUGCGUAGAGAUCGGGAAGAACAUCGGUGGCGAAAGCGCUCUACUGGACGGCAACUGACACUCAGGGACGAAAGCUAGGGGAGCGAAUGGGAUUAGAUACCCCAGUAGUCCUAGCUGUAAACGAUGG